Girardinichthys multiradiatus is the source of this 128-nucleotide small nucleolar RNA. RefSeq annotates it as small nucleolar RNA SNORA71. Lineage: Eukaryota; Metazoa; Chordata; Actinopteri; Cyprinodontiformes; Goodeidae. The record is from RefSeq and is a predicted model, not a curated record. The transcript has a single exon.
CCCUGUAUCGAAAGGUGAUCGCAGCGUCCUUGUGGCUGCGGUCAUUAUUAAUACAGGCAGAUAAACCUGAGAGCUUUCCCGUGUUUGAAGGAACGUUGGUUCCUGUCAGACCCUGAUGUUCUCGGACA